GUCAUCCCCAUGCCGGCCAGCUACUAGCUGGAGCUCCUGGAACUAGAAGGACAGGGGGAAAAUCAGAGACCUUGACUCAGGCCUGGUGGAGCUCAGCCUGGCAGACCGUGCCUUUGCCUUCAGAGUGUGACAGAGGUGGGUAGGGGUCCCCAACUUCACCAGGCCUAUCAACAGCCCCCCACUCAAACAUCUAUCUGUUCAUGGGAUUUAUUUGUUUGUCUUAAGCACAGUUCUCUCAAUGGUGGUUACAUUUGGCCAUAAGGACUGUUGAAAGUCUUCUCCUCUCCAUACUGCAACCAUAUAACAUACAACUCCAACUAUGACACUGCUCUACUGAUAGCCCUUCAAAGUCAAGGUCAAAUUCAAACCAUGAGCAUGGCAUCAAGGUGCUUUGAGAUUUGCAUCCACCAGUCUCUCCAGACUCAUCUUUCGCUACCCCUGCCCAUCUGCCUCUACACUUGUGCUGAACUGUUCCCUAAAUGUCCCUGUGCUCUCAAGUCUCUGAGACUUUGCAUGAGGCUCUACCUCCACCUGGAAAACCCUUUCUCAUCCAUUUUCCCUUUUUCCCUAGCUAGUUCCAACUCAGCCAAAGCAGAUCAGCUUCCUCCGGAAGGCCUUCCUUGAUCUUCCUUGAUUGGGUGUACUUCUGGUUCCGUAGUUCCUACCACUCCAGUUCAUAGAUCUUACCACACUGUACUAUAAGCACACCUUUCUGUGUCUUUCCCAUCAGACUUAGCAUGACUGGAUGACAGGGACCUGUAUUCUCUGUGACUUCCUGCCCUUCAUAGCUCAGCUGGGCCCUGGGCUACUGGAACUGUUUCUGGGAAUGGAGGAACAUUGUGUGUGUGUGUGUGUGUGUGUGUGUGUGUGUGCAUGCGCGCGCGUGUGUGUUGGUAUAUUCUGCUAGUCUAACACCACUAGCCAUGAAUUUGAGGUCAUCUACUAGUUUGGGAUCACUCCCGCCUUGAUGUCAUCCACUGAACAGUCAAUAGAGAAUAUUUUAGUUCUACCCCAGAAUCUGGCUUAUGAGGAACUUGGAAAAGUGUGACACUCAGAACUCUGGUGACUGCACACUGCUUCUCUCUGUGUAACUGGUGCUUGGCCUUAUGGGUUGUCAUAUCUGACCCUAACAAGGCCCUAGAGUCAGGAUUCCUCUUAAAAAUGCCAGGUCCCCUGGAAGACAAAGAGGCUUCUCAGUUCCUGUGUUUUAUCUUUGGUACUAAUCUUGGGAUGAUAAACACUGGGGCAGGACAGGUGGUCUUUCCCUGCUUCUCUGCAAGUCUAUGUGAGGAGGAUGGCCCUCCCUACAAACGGACAGGGAGGGAGGCACUAAUUCCCUAAGUUCUGACACCAAGCAGGCUCCUUCUGAAGCAAACAGACCAGUGUCCUUCUCCACUCUGUUCCUGGCCCAUCCUAAGUCGUCACUAUAAAUGCUUCUUAACAGAGUCAUGUCCUGAUCUUUUGUCUGAACACUGUGGAAUUUGUAGUCAGUCAUCUAGUUUCAAAUCCAGCUCCAUUUAUUCCCAGCUAAGUGACCUUGGCAAAUUACUUAAAUGCCCUGAUCCCUGCCUUCUUCAUCUUUGAAAGGGGAAGAAGAAGAAGAAGAAGCCCUUCUAAUUCUGUUGCUAGAACUACACUAAUGAAACUCUGGUCAGUAUGGGCUUAGCUCCAAUUGGAGACUUGCAGGUAUGGAUAACCCCAUACUUCUUCUGGAAGGAGUUUGGGGUUAAGCACUGGCCACUGACAAUCCAGAGUGCCUGGGCCACAUGGCCGUCCCUGAAACUGGCUUGCAACAGUCACGUGGAGGGACUUGGGAACUGGAAACUUGGGUUUGAACACUUAUCAAGGAGCCCUGGCCUGUGCUGUUGCCUGGACCUCCCUCUCUUCCUCCCAACCCUGCUGACCACAUCUUUCUGUCCCUAUGGUAGCAAGGAGGCAGGGGGAGAGAUAAGAUAAGGUCUCAAGUGUGUGAAUUUCCCCUGGGAAGGAACCCGAUAAAUAGCAUGGAACAAUUAGGAAGUUGCCAUCUGAUCUGAGAAACUAAAUUAUCUAAAGAAUCAUUUCCCCACCCACGACCCAUUAAAGGAGUUAAGAUCAUACUCCCCCUUUAUCCUUGUAAUUGGACUUGAAUGAAAGGUAGGAAUUACCUGAUCUCAGAUGACAUUCAAGAGACCCCCUAAUUUAUUGUAAUUAAUGGAAGAGUGGAGAUGCUAACUACCCAUGUUUUCCUCCCUCUCAGACUCAGUUCAAACCCCUCAGCCUUCAGGAAGUCAGUACUGACCUGUCCCACUUGGCCCCCUAACCUCUGUCUCCCCAGCAUCCAGGACUCUGUUUAUGCCACAUUCAUUUGCAAUCAGCCAUGGGUGUCUGUCAAUGGCUGCCCCAGUCUUUGUGGAUUACUCCAAGAGCUUCAUCUUCUCCUCCCUUUGGGAGUACCCCAGAACCCAGGACAGUGCCAUGCUCCCAACAAAUGUGUGGACCAUGGUGGGCCAUGGACUCUGAGGAGGUGUUCAGCCCACCUUGGUCUGGUACAGGGCCUCAGCCUCGGCCUUGCUCUUCAGGGCUAUUUCCUCAUACUGGGCGCGGACCUCAGUGAUGAUGCUGUCCAGGUCCAGGUUCCGGUUGUUGUCCAUGGACAGGAUGACAGAUGUGUCACUGAUAUGGGACUGGAUCUGAGCAAUCUCCUACAUGAGAAGGAAGGAAACAUGAAAUGCCAUUUGUGGAUGGAGGAAGGCCAAGGUGAUGACCCUUUCAUAGAGAGCCCCUAGACCCUCCCAAGUAGAGACAAGCUGUAUUCUCCAAAGCCCCCCAGCCCAGAUGUUUCAGCACCACAUCUGAAAACUGCUGAAUGAGUUGGAAGCAGCCCAAGAAGAAA
This 2875-nucleotide long non-coding RNA is filed under the name Lynx pardinus (Iberian lynx). Lineage: Eukaryota; Metazoa; Chordata; Mammalia; Carnivora; Felidae. The record is from RNAcentral.